This 691-nucleotide ribosomal RNA is filed under the name uncultured archaeon. RNAcentral describes it as "bacterial SSU rRNA". It matches the Rfam family "Archaeal small subunit ribosomal RNA", at positions 55 to 748 of the family's 1478-position model. The record is from RNAcentral.
GAGUCGAGAGCUUUCGGAGCUCGGCAUACUGCUCAGUAACACGUCGCGUCACCUGCCCUAUGCUGGGGGAUAACCUCGGGAAACUGACAACAAUACCCCAUAGUCCACUACGCCUGGAACGGUGAGUGGAUGAAAGCCCCGGCGGCAUAGGAUGGGCCUGCGGCGUAUCAGGUUGUAGGGGGUGUAAUGUACCCUCUAGCCUUCGACGCGUACGGGUUGUGAGAGCAAUAGCCCGGAGAUGGAUUCUGAGACAAGAAUCCAGGUCCUACGGGACGCAGCAGUCGCGAAACCUUGACAAUGCGGGAAACCAUGAUCAGGGGACUCCAAGUGCCAGGAGUAAGAUCCUGCGCUUUUCAUCUCUCUUCAAAGGAUUUGGAAUAAGAGGUGGGUAAGGACGGUGCCAGCCGCCGCGGUAAUACCGGCGCCUCAAGUGGUAGUCGAUUUUAUUGGGCCUAAAACGUCCGUCGCCGGUCUGGUGCAUUCGUGGGUAAAUCAACCCGCUCAACGGGUUGAAUUCUGCGAGCACGGCCAGACUAGGGACCGGGAGAGGUGUAGGGUACGCUCGGGGUAGGGGUAAAAUCCUGUCAUCCCGAGCGGACCACCUGUUGCGAAGGCGCUACACUAGAACGGAUCCGACGGUCAGGGACGAAACCUAGGGGCACGAACCGGAAUAGACACCCGGGGUAGUCCU